AUUGCAGAAUUCAGUGAAUCAUUGAAUCUUUGAACGCACCUUGCACCUUUUGGUAUUCCAAGAGGUACACCUGUUUGAGUGUCAUGA
This 87-nucleotide ribosomal RNA is filed under the name Puccinia kuehnii. RNAcentral describes it as "partial 5.8S ribosomal RNA". It matches the Rfam family "5.8S ribosomal RNA", at positions 71 to 154 of the family's 154-position model. Rfam says of the family: 5.8S ribosomal RNA (5.8S rRNA) is a component of the large subunit of the eukaryotic ribosome. It is transcribed by RNA polymerase I as part of the 45S precursor that also contains 18S and 28S rRNA. The record is from RNAcentral. Lineage: Eukaryota; Fungi; Basidiomycota; Pucciniomycetes; Pucciniales; Pucciniaceae.